GGGCGCAUAGCUCAGCUGGGAGAGCACCUGCCUUACAAGCAGGGGGUCAUAGGUUCGAGCCCUAUUGCGCCCA
This is a transfer RNA of Eubacterium saphenum ATCC 49989, 73 nucleotides long. It matches the Rfam family "tRNA". From Rfam's summary of the family: Transfer RNA (tRNA) molecules are approximately 80 nucleotides in length. Their secondary structure includes four short double-helical elements and three loops (D, anti-codon, and T loops). NCBI's taxonomy places the organism in Bacteria, Bacillati, Bacillota, Clostridia, Peptostreptococcales, Anaerovoracaceae. The record is from Rfam.